Molecule: ribosomal RNA, 482 nt
Filed under: uncultured Flavobacteriaceae bacterium
Lineage: Bacteria; Pseudomonadati; Bacteroidota; Flavobacteriia; Flavobacteriales; Flavobacteriaceae
Description: bacterial SSU rRNA
Rfam family: Bacterial small subunit ribosomal RNA
Source: RNAcentral
GAUGAACGCUAGCGGCAGGCUUAACACAUGCAAGUCGAGGGGUAACGUGAGUGCUUGCACUUGACGACGACCGGCGCACGGGUGCGUAACGCGUAUAGAACCUACCUUAUCCAAGGGGAUAGCCCAGAGAAAUUUGGAUUAAUACCCUAUAGUAUUAUUGAUUGGCAUCGAUUAAUAAUUAAAGAUUUAUUGGGAUAAGAUGGCUAUGCGUUCUAUUAGCUAGUUGGUAAGGUAACGGCUUACCAAGGCAACGAUAGAUAGGGGUCCUGAGAGGGAGAUCCCCCACACUGGUACUGAGACACGGACCAGACUCCUACGGGAGGCAGCAGUGAGGAAUAUUGGACAAUGGAGGAGACUCUGAUCCAGCCAUGCCGCGUGUAGGAAGACUGCCCUAUGGGUUGUAAACUACUUUUAUAUAGGAAGAAACGUACCCUCGUGAGGGUAUUUGACGGUACUAUAAGAAUAAGGAUCGGCUAACUCCG